AGAGUUUGAUCCUGGCUCAGAAUCAACGCUGGCGGCGUGCCUAACACAUGCAAGUCGAACGCGAAAGUGGAGCAAUCCAUGAGUAGAGUGGCAAACGGGUGAGUAACGCGUGGGCGACCUACCUCAGAGUGGGGGAUAACCUUCCGAAAGGAGGGCUAAUACCGCAUGACAUACCGUGUUUGGAUACACGGAUAUCAAAGCCGGGGAUCGUAAGACCUGGCGCUUGGAGAGGGGCCCGCGUCCGAUUAGCUAGUUGGUGAGGUAACGGCUCACCAAGGCUCCGAUCGGUAUCCGGCCUGAGAGGGCGGACGGACACACUGGAACUGAGACACGGUCCAGACUCCUACGGGAGGCAGCAGUGGGGGAUUGUUCACAAUGGGCGCAAGCCUGAUGACGCAACGCCGCGUGGAGGAUGAAGACUUUCGGGUCGUAAACUCCUUUCGACCGAGAUGAAUUCCCGCCGGCCUAAUAUGCCGGCGGGGUGACAGUAUCGAGGGAAGAGACCCCGGCUAACUCCGUGCCAGCAGCCGCGGUAAU
RNAcentral lists this ribosomal RNA (537 nucleotides) under uncultured soil bacterium. RNAcentral's name for it is "bacterial SSU rRNA". It matches the Rfam family "Bacterial small subunit ribosomal RNA", at positions 8 to 524 of the family's 1533-position model. The record is from RNAcentral.